GCGGCACGGUAUUCAUUCCCAUAGGCCUAUAGCCUCUCACCUACAGCGCAUAAUUACAGUAACAGAUGAGUAGAUGACCCAUCUUUCCACUAAUAACUGUACUACUACCCGCACUUUUAUUGUGGGGGUGAAGCUGUGCCAGGGGUUUGUAUGACUUGUUUCUGGAAAGGCAUGAUCGUGUCGUGCAUCAUGUUCAUUGCGCGCUUCAAUUCGUGUGCUCGCUUGGAGUUGGGGACUUUUUUGCGUCACUGCGCUUAUCUCUGUUGGCGCUCUUCUGUUCCUGUGUGCUAUAUGGUGGUUGAACAUCUUGCAGAUAGACACAGAAAAAAAAAAACCCUUGAGAGUAAUUAAGAACUACAACUUCGCAAAAAAAAAAAAGUGGAAUUCGAUCUUACGGCAAUCAGCCCCUUUUCAUGUUAUUCUGUAAUUCAAGAAAAAUCUAAACCAUAUAUACAAUUCGCCUUAGCUUUUAUCGUUGAACAUGUCUACUCGGGUUUUUCCUCGAUUUUGUUGUAGAAAGAAGGAAACCAAUGAUAUUCAAUGAAUGAUUUGUGAUGUCUCCUCUAUCGAUAGCGAUGCCUAGUAUGAUGGCCUUAGUUCAACUUAAAAUCUAAAUUUUUUUUCAAGAUUCUUCGUCAUAUCGCAUAUUGUGGCACAUGCAUGGACCAUUAAAUAUAAAUAAAAUAAAUAAAUAAUUACAUAGUUUAUCUGUAUUUUGCAAGAUCAAUCUUUUAAAAAUCUAGUUAGUUUAUAAUUAGACAAUAAUUACCUCAUAAUACAAACGAAGUGCUACAAUAAUCUGAAUUU
This 807-nucleotide long non-coding RNA is filed under the name Sorghum bicolor (sorghum). RNAcentral describes it as "long non-coding RNA (SBIC_LNC007274)". Lineage: Eukaryota; Viridiplantae; Streptophyta; Magnoliopsida; Poales; Poaceae. The record is from RNAcentral.